Molecule: ribosomal RNA, 305 nt
Filed under: uncultured bacterium
Lineage: Bacteria
Description: bacterial SSU rRNA
Rfam family: Bacterial small subunit ribosomal RNA
Source: RNAcentral
UUCUCCUACGGGGGGCAGCAGUGGGGAAUAUUGCACAAUGGGGGAAACCCUGAUGCAGCAACGCCGCGUGAGUGAAGAAGUAUUUCGGUAUGUAAAGCUCUAUCAGCAGGGAAGAAAAUGACGGUACCUGACUAAGAAGCCCCGGCUAACUACGUGCCAGCAGCCGCGGUAAUACGUAGGGGGCAAGCGUUAUCCGGAUUUACUGGGUGUAAGGGGAGCGUAGACGGCAUAGCAAGUCUGAUGUGAAAGAUCAGGGCUCAACCCCGGGCCUGCAUUGGAAACUGUUAAGCUGGAGUACAGGAGAG